This 443-nucleotide ribosomal RNA is filed under the name uncultured bacterium. RNAcentral describes it as "partial 16S ribosomal RNA". It matches the Rfam family "Bacterial small subunit ribosomal RNA", at positions 338 to 795 of the family's 1533-position model. The record is from RNAcentral.
CCUACGGGAGGCAGCAGUGGGGAAUAUUGGGCAAUGGGCGCAAGCCUGACCCAGCAACGCCGCGUGACGGAAGAAGGCUUUCGGGUUGUAAACUUCUUUUGUCAGGGACGAAGCAAGUGACGGUACCUGACGAAUAAGCCACGGCUAACUACGUGACAGCAGCCGCGGUACUACGUAGGCGGCAAGCGUUAUCCGGAUUUACUGGGUGUAAAGGGCGAGUAGGCGGGACUGCAAGUCAGAUGUGAAAACCACGGGCUCAACCUGUGGCCUGUAGUUGAAACUGUAGUUCUUGAGGACUGGAGAGGCAGACGGAAUUCCUAGUGUAGCGGGGAAAUGCGUAGAGAUUAGGAGGAACACCAGUGGCGAAGGCGGUCUGCUGGACAGCAACUGACGCUGAGGCGCGAAAGCGUGGGGAGCAAACAGGAUUAGAUACCCCAGUAGUC